This 85-nucleotide non-coding RNA is filed under the name Clostridium pasteurianum. RNAcentral's name for it is "ZTP sequence". It matches the Rfam family "ZMP/ZTP riboswitch aptamer (pfl RNA motif)". Rfam says of the family: Previously known as pfl RNA. ZMP is also known as AICAR. The record is from RNAcentral. Lineage: Bacteria; Bacillati; Bacillota; Clostridia; Eubacteriales; Clostridiaceae. RNAcentral also lists the same sequence under 1 other name.
AAGUGAUCAUGUAACUGGCGGAAAUGGAAUUAACCAUAGGGAACAUGAUUAAUUAUAUAAAAUAUCGACCGUCUGGGUAAGUUUA